UUUUCUCUCAACAUAGUCUUUUUUUCAUUGAAUAUUUUUUAAUUUAAAUUCAAUUAGUUAACAUAUAAUGUACUAUUAGUUUCAGAGGUAGAGUUCAGUGAUUCAUCAGUCUUAUAUAAUACCCAGUGCUCAUUACAUCACAUACCCUUCUUAAUGUCCAUCACCUAGUUAGCCCAGUCCCCCACUCCCUUCCUCUCCAGCAACUCUCAGUUUGUUUCCUAUGAUUACAAGAGGGUAUUAUGCUAAGUGAAAUAAGUCAACCAGAGAAUGACAAUUCUCAUUCGAUCUCAUUCAUGUGUGUAUUUAAGAAACAAAACAGAGGAUCAAAGGGGAAGGGAGAGAAAAUAAAACAAGACAAAAUCAGAGAGGGAAAGAAACCAUAGAGACUCUUAAUCAAAUAAAUAAAAUCUUUAAAAAAAAAAAAAACUAAACGAUCACAAUGUAUGACCUUAUGUAGAUCCCCAUUCAAACAAAUAAACCUUAAAAAAUAUAUAAUUGAGGGCAGCCCCGGUGGUGCAGUGGUUUGGCACUGCCUGCAGCCCGGGGUGUGAUCCUGGAGACCCAGGAUCAAGUCCCACGUCAGGCUCCCUGCAUGGAGCCUACUUCUCCCUCUGCCUGUGUCUCUGCCUCUCUGUCUAUGAAUAAAUGAAUAAAAUCUUAAAAAUAUAUAUAUAUUUGAGAAAAUAUGAAUAUUGACUGGGCAUUCAGUCAUAUUAAGGAAUUUUUUUUAAGAUUUUAUUUAUUUAUUUGAGGGAGAGCAAUAGCGAGAGACCACAGAGGGAGAGGAAGAAGCAGACUCACUGCUGAGUGGAGAGCCUGACAUAGAGCUUGAUCCCAGGACCCUGAGACCAUGACCUGAGCCAAAGGCAGAUGCUUAACUGACUGAACCACCCAGGUGCCCCUUAAGGAAUUUUUCCUUAAGUGUAAUAAUCGUGACCAUGUUUUAUAAAGAAUCUUUAUCUUUAUGAGAUACAUAAUGAAAUACUUAUAUAUAAAUAUUUACAAAUACAAUAGAAUCUAAGUUUACUUCAAAAGUUUCUGAGGUAUGACAGGGGUGCUAGAGGAUGGACACAGAUGAGACAGUAAUGAUCAUGUGCUGAAGAUUAUGGAAAUCAGGAGAUGUAUAAAUCAGCUUAUUUUUUAUUUUUUCUUUUCUUGCGUAUGUUUUUAAAUGUCCAUAAUAAAGUUUUCAUAAAACAUAAUGAAUGGUAUAGUCAAAAUCAGAUGUGAUCCAAUAGACUAAAUAGGAGAUAGGGGAACACACAGUCAGGAUUAGAACCCGAAGUCUUAACUUCCACCCAAAUGUUCUUACCACUAAAUAAUACUGAAGCAGCCACUCAUGCCCACCUCCAAAACCACUGAUAAUGUAGUGGAACAGAAGCCUAUAUAAAUUUCAUUCUCUGAAACAAAAGAAAGCAAAGCAAAGCAAAAACCCCACUAUUUAUCUUUCACAAAAUAUCCAACAUGGCACUUAAAGAAAAAAAUUAUAUUCCCAAAAAGACUCUACUUGUUCAGAAGAAUCUAAACCAAAUCACCAAACAAAUCUUCGACUAUAAAUUGCAAGACUUAGAUUUUAAAAAAAAAAAAAAAAAAAAAAAAAAAAAAAACCAACAACAACAACAACAAAAAAAAACAGUGUGAGGCAACAUGAAGAAAAACUAACUCUGUUCUUAAACCUCACUGACAGAAUCUGGAUGAGGAUUUGACUGUAGCCAUAUAUUCAGAAACAUUAAAGAACUUUCCACCUCCACCAUACCAUGCUCCAAUAAACCAAAUGUAAAGCAAUAUCUUUCUUUAAUGUCAUUCUUUAAUGAUAGAAAUAAAUCCAAUUACUGAAGACAAUGCUUGGAUAUAUAAAAAUAUGCUAUCAGAAAAAAAAAAAGAGCUCUCUAAACUCACAGGGUGACACUGCAGAGGCAGCAUUUGGUGGGUUAGAACUGCAGACACAGAAGAUCCCUGGGUGGCUCAGCAGUUUAGUGCCUCCCUUCCGCUCGGGGUGUGAUCCUGGAGUCUUGGGAUCGAGUCCCACAUCAGGCUCCCUGCAUGGAGCCUACUUCUCCCUCUGCCUGUGUCUCUACCUCUCUCUCUGUGUCUCUCAUGAAUAAAUAAAUAAAUAAAUAAAUAAAUAAAUAAAUAAAUAAAAUCUUAAAAAAUAAAAUAAAAAUAAAUUUAAAAAAAUAGAAGGGCAGCCUGGGUGGCUCAGCAGUUUAGCGCAGCCUUCAGCCCAGGGCCUGAUCCUGGAGACCCAGGAUAGCGUCCCACAUCAGGCUCCCUGCAUGGAGCCUGCUUCUCUCUCUGCCCCCCCCCCCUCUGUGUGUGUGUGUCUCUCAUGAAUAAAUAAAUAAGAUCUUUAAAAAAAAAAAAAAAAAAAAA
Molecule: long non-coding RNA, 2373 nt
Filed under: Canis lupus familiaris (dog)
Lineage: Eukaryota; Metazoa; Chordata; Mammalia; Carnivora; Canidae
Description: lncRNA (ENSCAFG00845017788.1)
Source: RNAcentral